UCCAUUUCCUUUAUACAUAUGCCGUUAUGGUAGAUAUAAGCUCCUUCACUAUUGAUGAGUUUGCCCAAGCAUUUCAGGACAAGGAUUCCUUGCUACUUGGAAAAAUUCAUGUGACCCUUCUGAAGCUUCUUCUAUCUAAUGUUGAAGCCGAGCUUGGCUGUGGAUCUAUACCUCAUUUGAGCAAAUCAUGCAAUUUUCUUGCAUUUAUUCACUCGGU
Prunus avium (sweet cherry) is the source of this 217-nucleotide non-coding RNA. NCBI's taxonomy places the organism in Eukaryota, Viridiplantae, Streptophyta, Magnoliopsida, Rosales, Rosaceae. The record is from RefSeq and is a predicted model, not a curated record.